CAGGCCCGAUUGUUUUUAAUCCUUUCCUGCUUAAAAAUAUAAAUAAAUGAAAAAUAAAUAAACCAUGAUGAUGAGUCAUAAUGCUCCUUUCUGAGCAUGAAUGGGGCGCAGAGCAGUGAACUUGGUUGUGAACCCUGUGUUGUUGAUGAAUGUUCUGUAUUGUCUUUUGCAUUAGGUUUGUAAAGAAAGUUGUGUGUUCUGAAUGGU
Megalobrama amblycephala (Wuchang bream) is the source of this 207-nucleotide small nucleolar RNA. RefSeq annotates it as small nucleolar RNA U3. The transcript has a single exon. The record is from RefSeq and is a predicted model, not a curated record. NCBI's taxonomy places the organism in Eukaryota, Metazoa, Chordata, Actinopteri, Cypriniformes, Xenocyprididae.